Molecule: transfer RNA, 58 nt
Filed under: Lotharella globosa
Lineage: Eukaryota; Cercozoa; Chlorarachniophyceae
Description: partial Selenocysteine transfer RNA
Source: RNAcentral
AAUUUUCAACUACACCCACAGUUUCAAAGGCAAAAAGGAGUGGACCGCAGGCCUUCCC